Molecule: unclassified non-coding RNA, 215 nt
Filed under: uncultured fungus
Lineage: Eukaryota; Fungi
Description: sequence contains ITS1
Source: RNAcentral
GUAUUAAGCUUUUAGACUUGUUAAGUCAAUAAUACAUUCUAUAGAUAAUUUGACUGGUAUAUAAAACAUAGUCAGAGCAGGAAAAUAAAAUCUUCCUUUAAUGCCAGACUACAAAAGAUGCACAGGGGUAUGAGGUUUCGGAGUGCACAUGCUUGUUAAGGCCAGCACAUCCUUUAGAAUCGGUAAUGAUCCUUCCGCAGGUUCACCUACGGAAA